GUUUAUUAAAAACAUGGCCUAUUGAUAAAAUUUUAGGUUUGACCUGCCCAAUGAUUUUAUUUAAUGGCCGCGGUAAUUUGACCGUGCAAAGGUAGCAUAAUCAUUAGUUUUUUAAUUGAAAGCUUGUAUGAAGGGUUUGAUGAAAAAAUGACUGUCUCUAUCUAAACUAUUUAGAAAUUUAUUUUUAAGUUAAAAAGCUUAAAUAUUUAUAGAAGACGAGAAGACCCUAUAGAAUUUUAUAAUUUUUUUAUAUAAAAAAUAUUUAGUAUUAUAAAUUAUUUAUUUAAAGUAUUAUUUAAUUGGGGUGAUUGAAAAAUUUAAUAAACUUUUUUUUUAUUUUUACAUUUAUUUAUGAAUUUUUGAUCCUAUAAUUUAGAUUAAAAGAUUAAAUUACCUUAGGGAUAACAGCGUAAUUUUUUUUAGAGUUCUUAUCGAAGAAAAAGAUUGCGACCUCGAUGUUGGAUUAAAAUAAAUUAUUGGUGUAGAAGCUAAUAUAUUAGGUCUGUUCGACCUUUAAAAUUUUACAUGAUCUGAGUUUAAACCGGUGUGAGCCAGGUCG
This 559-nucleotide ribosomal RNA is filed under the name Dysopirhinus cf. grandis MB-2015. Its description in RNAcentral is "Dysopirhinus cf grandis MB-2015 partial 16S ribosomal RNA". It matches the Rfam family "Bacterial large subunit ribosomal RNA", at positions 1802 to 2633 of the family's 2925-position model. The record is from RNAcentral. Lineage: Eukaryota; Metazoa; Arthropoda; Insecta; Coleoptera; Curculionidae.